GGUCCCGUAGCUCAACCGGCAGAGCGUCCGCGAUAUUCGAGCGGGAGGCAUCGAUUCAAGUUCGGUCGGGAUCA
This 74-nucleotide transfer RNA is filed under the name Streptomyces malaysiensis. Its description in RNAcentral is "tRNA-Tyr". It matches the Rfam family "tRNA". From Rfam's summary of the family: Transfer RNA (tRNA) molecules are approximately 80 nucleotides in length. Their secondary structure includes four short double-helical elements and three loops (D, anti-codon, and T loops). Lineage: Bacteria; Bacillati; Actinomycetota; Actinomycetes; Kitasatosporales; Streptomycetaceae. The record is from RNAcentral. RNAcentral also lists the same sequence under 1 other name.